This 253-nucleotide ribosomal RNA is filed under the name uncultured bacterium. Its description in RNAcentral is "partial 16S ribosomal RNA". It matches the Rfam family "Bacterial small subunit ribosomal RNA", at positions 524 to 776 of the family's 1533-position model. The record is from RNAcentral.
UACGUAGGGCGCAAGCGUUAUCCGGAAUUAUUGGGCGUCAAGAGCUCGUAGGCGGUUUGUCGCGUCUGCCGUGAAAGUCCGGGGCUCAACUCCGGAUCUGCGGUGGGUACGGGCAGACUAGAGUGAUGUAGGGGAGACUGGAAUUCCUGGUGUAGCGGUGAAAUGCGCAGAUAUCAGGAGGAACACCGAUGGCGAAGGCAGGUCUCUGGGCAUUAACUGACGCUGAGGAGCGAAAGCAUGGGGAGCGAACAGG